RNAcentral lists this ribosomal RNA (422 nucleotides) under uncultured bacterium. RNAcentral describes it as "bacterial SSU rRNA". It matches the Rfam family "Bacterial small subunit ribosomal RNA", at positions 355 to 774 of the family's 1533-position model. The record is from RNAcentral.
UGAGGAAUAUUGGGCAAUGCCCGCAAGGGUGACCCAGCAACGCCGCGUGGAGGAUGAAUGUCGUAAGAUUGUAAACUCCUGUUAGAGGGGAAGAAUAGUACCGGUUGGACCGGUAUAUGACUGUACCCUCAGAGAAAGCCCCGGCUAACUACGUGCCAGCAGCCGCGGUAAUACGGAGGGUGCGAGCGUUAUCCGGAUUUACUGGGUUUAAAGGGUGCGUAGGUGUGCUUAUAAGUCAGUGGUGAAAUCUCCGAGCUUAACUUGGAAACUGCCGUUGAUACUAUAGGUCUUGAAUUAUCUGGAGGUAAGCGGAAUAUGUCAUGUAGCGGUGAAAUGCUUAGAUAUGACAUAGAACACCAAUUGCGAAGGCAGCUUACUACAUAUAAAUUGACGCUGAGGCACGAAAGCGUGGGGAUCAAACA